This 301-nucleotide ribosomal RNA is filed under the name uncultured bacterium. RNAcentral describes it as "partial 16S ribosomal RNA". It matches the Rfam family "Bacterial small subunit ribosomal RNA", at positions 509 to 807 of the family's 1533-position model. The record is from RNAcentral.
CAGCCGCCGCGGGAAUACGUAGGUGGCAAGCGUUGUCCGGAAUUAUUGGGCAUAAAGGGCUCGCAGGCGGUUUCUUAAGUCUGAUGUGAAAGCCCCCGGCUCAACCGGGGAGGGUCAUUGGAAACUGGGAAACUUGAGUGCAGAAGAGGAGAGUGGAAUUCCACGUGUAGCGGUGAAAUGCGUAGAGAUGUGGAGGAACACCAGUGGCGAAGGCGACUCUCUGGUCUGUAACUGACGCUGAGGAGCGAAAGCGUGGGGAGCGAACAGGAUUAGAUACCCCAGUAGUCCCUGUCUCUUAUAC